UCCCUAGUGGUCCAGCAGUUAGGACUUAGCACUUUCACUGCUGAGGGUCUGGGUUCAAGCCCUGGUCGAGGAA
RNAcentral lists this transfer RNA (73 nucleotides) under Ovis aries (sheep). It matches the Rfam family "tRNA". Rfam says of the family: Transfer RNA (tRNA) molecules are approximately 80 nucleotides in length. Their secondary structure includes four short double-helical elements and three loops (D, anti-codon, and T loops). Further hydrogen bonds mediate the characteristic L-shaped molecular structure. tRNAs have two regions of fundamental functional importance: the anti-codon, which is responsible for specific mRNA codon recognition, and the 3' end, to which the tRNAs corresponding amino acid is attached (by aminoacyl-tRNA synthetases). tRNAs cope with the degeneracy of the genetic code in two manners: having more than one tRNA (with a specific anti-codon) for a particular amino acid; and 'wobble' base-pairing, i.e. permitting non-standard base-pairing at the 3rd anti-codon position. Lineage: Eukaryota; Metazoa; Chordata; Mammalia; Artiodactyla; Bovidae. The record is from Rfam by way of RNAcentral.